This 257-nucleotide long non-coding RNA is filed under the name Manihot esculenta (cassava). RNAcentral's name for it is "long non-coding RNA (MESC_LNC004055)". Lineage: Eukaryota; Viridiplantae; Streptophyta; Magnoliopsida; Malpighiales; Euphorbiaceae. The record is from RNAcentral.
ACCGAGGACCCCAGCAGUGAGUCCAGCUGCUUCGGUGUUGUCAGAGUCUGCCAGAGGUGAGUGGAACUAAACUUAAUCUUUUAAAUUAAAUGUUUUAUCAUGUUUCAUGCAUCAUGAUUAUGCAAUAGGAUGAUUGCAUUAGUAUUCACGAAUAUGCCGCAUUGCAUCGAUUGUUGUUGAUGUGGGUGAAUGUUGGAUGACCCAAUUAGUCCAUGACAGGAAGACCAGGACCCCAUUCUACGGCCUGGCACGAUUGU